ACAGUUGGAAACGACUGCUAAUACCGCAUAAGCCCACGGUACCGCAUGGCACUGAGGGAAAAGGAUUUAUUCGCUUUAGGAUGGACUCGCGUCCAAUUAGCUAGUUGGUGAGGUAACGGCCCACCAAGGCGACGAUCAGUAGCCGGACUGAGAGGUUGAACGGCCACAUUGGGACUGAGACACGGCCCAGACUCCUACGGGAGGCAGCAGUGGGGGAUAUUGCACAAUGGGGGAAACCCUGAUGCAGCGACGCCGCGUGGAGGAAGAAGGUUUUCGGAUUGUAAACUCCUGUCGUUAGGGACGAUAAUGACGGUACCUAACAAGAAAGCACCGGCUAACUACGUGCCAGCAGCCGCGGUAAAACGUAGGGUGCAAGCGUUGUCCGGAAUUACUGGGUGUAAAGGGAGCGCAGGCGGGAAGACAAGUUGGAAGUGAAAACCAUGGGCUCAACCCAUGAAUUGCUUUCAAAACUGUUUUUCUUGAGUAGUGCAGAGGUAGAUGGAAUUCCCGGUGUAGCGGUGGAAUGCGUAGAUAUCGGGAGGAACACCAGUGGCGAAGG
Molecule: ribosomal RNA, 559 nt
Filed under: uncultured Lachnospiraceae bacterium
Lineage: Bacteria; Bacillati; Bacillota; Clostridia; Lachnospirales; Lachnospiraceae
Description: bacterial SSU rRNA
Rfam family: Bacterial small subunit ribosomal RNA
Source: RNAcentral